This 74-nucleotide transfer RNA is filed under the name Akkermansia sp. RNAcentral's name for it is "tRNA-Arg". It matches the Rfam family "tRNA". Rfam says of the family: Transfer RNA (tRNA) molecules are approximately 80 nucleotides in length. Their secondary structure includes four short double-helical elements and three loops (D, anti-codon, and T loops). Further hydrogen bonds mediate the characteristic L-shaped molecular structure. tRNAs have two regions of fundamental functional importance: the anti-codon, which is responsible for specific mRNA codon recognition, and the 3' end, to which the tRNAs corresponding amino acid is attached (by aminoacyl-tRNA synthetases). tRNAs cope with the degeneracy of the genetic code in two manners: having more than one tRNA (with a specific anti-codon) for a particular amino acid; and 'wobble' base-pairing, i.e. permitting non-standard base-pairing at the 3rd anti-codon position. The record is from RNAcentral. Lineage: Bacteria; Pseudomonadati; Verrucomicrobiota; Verrucomicrobiia; Verrucomicrobiales; Akkermansiaceae.
GCGCCGGUAGCUCAAUUGGAUAGAGCAUCUGACUACGGAUCAGAAGGUUCGGGGUUCGAAUCCCUGCCGGCGUG